AUUGAACGCUGGCGGCAGGCCUAACACAUGCCAGUCGAACGGUAACAGGAAGCAGCUUGCUGCUUUGCUGACGAGUGGCGGACGGGUGAGUAAUGUCUGGGAAACUGCCCGAUGGAGGGGGAUAACUACUGGAAACGGUAGCUAAUACCGCAUAACGUCGCAAGACCAAAGAGGGGGACCUUAGGGCCUCUUGCCAUCGGAUGUGCCCAGAUGGGAUUAGCUAGUAGGUGGGGUAACGGCUCACCUAGGCGACGAUCCCUAGCUGGUCUGAGAGGAUGACCAGCCACACUGGAACUGAGACACGGUCCAGACUCAUACGGGAGGCAGCAGUGGGGAAUAUUGCACAAUGGGCGCAAGCCUGAUGCAGCCAUGCCGCGUGUAUGAAGAAGGCCUUCGGGUUGUAAAGUACUUUCAGCGGGGAGGAAGGGAGUAAAGUUAAUACCUUUGCUCAUUGACGUUACCCGCAGAAGAAGCACCGGCUAACUCCGUG
Molecule: ribosomal RNA, 490 nt
Filed under: uncultured bacterium
Lineage: Bacteria
Description: partial 16S ribosomal RNA
Rfam family: Bacterial small subunit ribosomal RNA
Source: RNAcentral